This 492-nucleotide ribosomal RNA is filed under the name uncultured bacterium. RNAcentral describes it as "bacterial SSU rRNA". It matches the Rfam family "Bacterial small subunit ribosomal RNA", at positions 28 to 531 of the family's 1533-position model. The record is from RNAcentral.
GACGAACGCUGGCGGCGUGCUUAACACAUGCAAGUCGAACGGUGACGAGGAGCUUGCUCCUCUGAUCAGUGGCGAACGGGUGAGUAACGCGUGAGCAACCUGACUCUUAGAGGGGGAUAACACCCGGAAACGAGUGCUAAUACCGCAUAAGACCACGACAUGGCAUCAUGACGAGGUCAAAGGAGCAAUCCGCUGAGAGAGGGGCUCGCGUCCCAUUAGAUAGAUGGCGGGGUAACGGGCCCACCAUGUCAACGAUGGGUAGCCGAGCUGAGAGGCUGAUCGGCCACACUGGAACUGAGACACGGUCCAGACUCCUACGGGAGGCAGCAGUGGGGAAUAUUGGGCAAUGGGCGCAAGCCUGACCCAGCAACGCCGCGUGAGGGAAGAAGGCUUUCGGGUUGUAAACCUCUGUCCUUGGUGACGAAACAAAUGACGGUAGCCAAGGAGGAAGCCCCGGCUAACUACGUGCCAGCAGCCGCGGUAAAACGUCUA